AGUGAACGCUGGCGGUAGGCCUAACACAUGCAAGUCGAACGGCAGCACAGUAAGAGCUUGCUCUUACGGGUGGCGAGUGGCGGACGGGUGAGGAAUACAUCGGAAUCUACUUUUUCGUGGGGGAUAACGUAGGGAAACUCACGCUAAUACCGCAUACGACCUACGGGUGAAAGCAGGGGAUCUUCGGACCUUGCGCGAUUGAAUGAGCCGAUGUCGGAUUAGCUAGUUGGCGGGGUAAAGGCCCACCAAGGCGACGAUCCGUAGCUGGUCUGAGAGGAUGAUCAGCCACACUGGAACUGAGACACGGUCCAGACUCCUACGGGAGGCAGCAGUGGGGAAUAUGGGACAAUGGGCGCAAGCCUGAUCCAGCCAUACCGCGUGGGUGAAGAAGGCCUUCGGGUUGUAAAGCCCUUUUGUUGGGAAAGAAAAGCAGCAGGUUAAUACCCCGCUGUUCUGACGGUACCCAAAGAAUAAGCACCGGCUAACUUCGUG
RNAcentral lists this ribosomal RNA (492 nucleotides) under uncultured bacterium. RNAcentral describes it as "partial 16S ribosomal RNA". It matches the Rfam family "Bacterial small subunit ribosomal RNA", at positions 29 to 507 of the family's 1533-position model. The record is from RNAcentral.